RNAcentral lists this ribosomal RNA (375 nucleotides) under uncultured bacterium. RNAcentral's name for it is "SSU rRNA". It matches the Rfam family "Bacterial small subunit ribosomal RNA", at positions 26 to 381 of the family's 1533-position model. The record is from RNAcentral.
AGAAUGAACGCUGGCGGCGUGGUUAAGACAUGCAAGUCGAACGGUGUUUCAGAUGUAGCAAUACAUUUGAAACGCAGUGGCGAACGGGUGCGUAACACGUGAACAAUUUACCUUUUAGUGUGGAAUAGCUCGACGAAAGUCGGAUUAAUACCGCAUGUGGUUGUCUCUCUCCUGAGGGGCAUACUAAAGCCGGGGACCGCAAGGCCUGGCGCUAUUAGAGGAGUUCGCGGCCUAUCAGCUAGUUGGCGAGGUAACGGCUCACCAAGGCUAAGACGGGUAGCUGAUCUGAGAGGAUGAUCAGCCACACUGGACUGAGACACGGUCCAGACACCGUACGGGUGGCAGCAGUUUCGAAUCAUUCACAAUGGGACAAAG